Molecule: non-coding RNA, 407 nt
Organism: Herpailurus yagouaroundi (jaguarundi)
Lineage: Eukaryota; Metazoa; Chordata; Mammalia; Carnivora; Felidae
Source: RefSeq, a predicted model, not a curated record
AGGUGCAAAGCACUAUUUGCUUUUCUGUGCUCCAUACCCGUCACCGUCAAGUUGAAAUCAGAAUAAUUUCAAGAGCAGGCUCGCUUUGGCUGCACAUGUACUAAAGUUGGAACAAUACAGAAAGAUUAGCGUGGCCCCUCAGCAAGGAUGAUGUGCAGAUCCAUGGAGACUAAUUUCAGGAGCUAAAUCAGAGUGUUGUGAAUAGUCAGAGAAGCAACAGUGAAUAGCGUCUGUCACGGAGAAAUGAGCGGUCCUUGGCCACAGCACAUAAAGCUGCUCCAUGGAGCUGGGGAGCGUGCCCUGUGGUCUGUGCAGGUAAAGGGGGCUUCCAGAAAGAAAGAGCACACCGAGGCUCUUCCUAAGCAGCUAAACUCUCCUUGCUGGAGUAUCAUCCCUGAUAAUCAGAU